Molecule: ribosomal RNA, 406 nt
Filed under: uncultured bacterium
Lineage: Bacteria
Description: partial 16S ribosomal RNA
Rfam family: Bacterial small subunit ribosomal RNA
Source: RNAcentral
AUUGAACGCUGGCGGCAGGCCUAACACAUGCAAGUCGAGCGAGUGGCGGACGGGUGAGUAAUGUCUGGGAAACUGCCUGAUGGAGGGGGAUAACUACUGGAAACGGUAGCUAAUACCGCAUACCAUCAGAUGUGCCCAGAUGGGAUUAGCUAGUAGGUGGGGUAACGGCUCACCAAGGCGACGAUCCCUAGCUGGUCUGAGAGGAUGACCAGCCACACUGGAACUGCGACACGGUCCAGACUCCUACGGGAGGCAUCAGUGGGGAAUAUGGCACAAUGGGCGCAAGCCUGAUGCAGCCAUGCCGCGUGUAUGAAGAAGGCCUUCGGGUUGGAAAGUACUUGCAGCGGGGAGGCGUUACCCGCAGAAGAAGCACCGGCUAACUCCGUGCCAGCAGCCGCGGUAAUUC